CAGUAGCCGCGGGGAUACGGAGGAUCCGAGCGUUAUCCGGAAUUAUUGGGUUUAAAGGGUGCGUAGGCGGAUAGAUAAGUCAGUGGUGAAAGACGGUGGCUCAACCAUCGCAGUGCCGUUGAUACUGUUUAUCUUGAAUAUGGAUGAGGUAGGCGGAAUGUGGCAAGUAGCGGUGAAAUGCAUAGAUAUGCCACAGAACACCGAUUGCGAAGGCAGCUUACCAAGGCAAAAUUGACGCUGAGGCACGAAAGCGUGGGGAUCGAACAGGAUUAGAUACCCGAGUAGUCCCUGUCUCUUAUAC
Molecule: ribosomal RNA, 301 nt
Filed under: uncultured bacterium
Lineage: Bacteria
Description: partial 16S ribosomal RNA
Rfam family: Bacterial small subunit ribosomal RNA
Source: RNAcentral